GCCUAUGUCCUGCUUGUGCUUCAUUGAUGAAGAUCUCUAUUACAAGGGUGCGGAAUCGCUACCCUUUGUAAAAAAUUGGGAAUAAUAACUUGUCUGGCGUUGAGUCGGCCUUCAAUGCUUUGGCUUGAUGAAAAUUUUGGGAAUAAGGAAACCAUAUAAUGUUGGCCCGCCAGGUGAUGUUGUGCCGGCUUUCAAUGCUUCAGCUCCACUUAAAAUUAAGCUUAAAAUUGAUCGCUUGAGGAUGCUCUUCCUCUUUUUUUUUAUAUAUCCAUAUUACCUGUAGCCCCAAGCUCUGAGUUUAUCAGUUCAUGAUGACUUGGUGCUUUCCUUUAAAAUAAUAUCUUGACCAUGUAGCCCUCAAGUGCCAGGUUGUCUUGCCCGCAACAGCCUGGGACUUUGAACUUUAGCUUUGAAUGUUGUAGCUGGCUUUGAGAAAUCCAGGUUGUCCAUCUGAAUCACCAGCUAUAAGUUUUUUUUUUGCUUUUUACAUGUGUAGCCCCCAAGGGCCGGCUCAUUAAUAUGUGAUGGGCCGGGUCUUCAAU
This 542-nucleotide long non-coding RNA is filed under the name Hordeum vulgare. RNAcentral's name for it is "long non-coding RNA (HVUL_LNC009227)". Lineage: Eukaryota; Viridiplantae; Streptophyta; Magnoliopsida; Poales; Poaceae. The record is from RNAcentral.